Transfer RNA from Loxodonta africana (African savanna elephant), 74 nucleotides. It matches the Rfam family "tRNA". Rfam says of the family: Transfer RNA (tRNA) molecules are approximately 80 nucleotides in length. Their secondary structure includes four short double-helical elements and three loops (D, anti-codon, and T loops). The record is from Rfam. Lineage: Eukaryota; Metazoa; Chordata; Mammalia; Proboscidea; Elephantidae.
CCCUUUGUGGUGCAAAUGGUUAACAUGCUUGGCUGAUAACCAAAAGGUUGGAGGUUCGAAUCCACCCAGAGGUU